GACGAACGCUGGCGGCGUGCUUAACACAUGCAAGUCGAACGCUGAAGCUCAGCUUGCUGGGUGGACGAGUGGCGAACGGGUGAGUAACACGUGAGUAACCCGCCCUCUUCUUUGGGAUAACGCCCGGAAACGGGUGCUAAUACUGGAUAUUCACUGAUUCUCGCAUGGGGGUUGGUGGAAAGGUUUCUUCUGGUGGGGGGUGGGCUCUGGGUCUAUCAGUUGGUUGUUGGGGUGAUGGCCUACCAAGGCUUUGACGGGUAGCCGGCCUGGGAGGGUGACCGGUGACGUUGGGCCUGAGAAACGGGCCAGAGUGAUGCGGGAGGCAGCAAUGGGGGAUAUUGCACGAUAGGCGAAAGCCUGAUGCAGCGGCGCGGCGUGAGGGAGGGAGGCCUUCGAGUUGUAAACCUCGUUCGCUCAUGGUCAAGCCGCAGCUUUGGGUUGUGGUGAGGGUAGUGGGUAAAGAAGCGCCGGCUAACUACGUG
RNAcentral lists this ribosomal RNA (482 nucleotides) under uncultured bacterium. Its description in RNAcentral is "partial 16S ribosomal RNA". It matches the Rfam family "Bacterial small subunit ribosomal RNA", at positions 28 to 507 of the family's 1533-position model. The record is from RNAcentral.